This 442-nucleotide ribosomal RNA is filed under the name uncultured bacterium. RNAcentral's name for it is "partial 16S ribosomal RNA". It matches the Rfam family "Bacterial small subunit ribosomal RNA", at positions 338 to 795 of the family's 1533-position model. The record is from RNAcentral.
CCUACGGGAGGCAGCAGUAGGGAAUCUUUCACAAUGGGCGAAAGCCUGAUGGAGCAACGCCGCGUGCAGGAUGAAGGCCUUCGGGUUGUAAACUGCUUUUAUAAGCGAGAAAUAUGAUGGUAACUUAUGAAUAAGGAUCUGCUAACUACGUGCCAGCAGCCGCGGUCAUACGUAGGAUCCGAGCAUUAUCCGGAGUGACUGGGUGUAAAGAGUUGCGUAGGUGGCAUAAUAAGUAGCUAGUGAAAUCUGGUGGCUCAACCAUUCAGACUAUUAGCUAAACUGUUAAGCUCGAGACCGUUAGGGGUAACUGGAAUUUCUAGUGUAGGAGUGAAAUCCGUAGAUAUUAGAAGGAACACCAAUAGCGUAGGCAGGUUGCUGGGACGGUUCUGACACUAAGGCACGAAAGCGUAGGGAGCAAACGGGAUUAGAUACCCCAGUAGUC